This 566-nucleotide ribosomal RNA is filed under the name Zygoascus hellenicus. RNAcentral's name for it is "eukaryotic LSU rRNA". It matches the Rfam family "Eukaryotic large subunit ribosomal RNA", at positions 62 to 648 of the family's 3401-position model. The record is from RNAcentral. Lineage: Eukaryota; Fungi; Ascomycota; Dipodascomycetes; Dipodascales; Trichomonascaceae.
AAACCAACAGGGAUUGCCUUAGUAGCGGCGAGUGAAGCGGCAAAAGCUCAAAUUUGAAAUCUGGUACUUUCAGUAUCCGAGUUGUAAUUUGUAGAAGCAACUUUGGUGAUGGUCUUUGCAUAAGUUCCUUGGAAUAGGACGUCAUAGAGGGUGAGAAUCCCGUUUAUGGUGAAGAACCCACACUAUGUAAAGUGCUUUCGAAGAGUCGAGUUGUUUGGGAAUGCAGCUCAAAGUGGGUGGUAAAUUCCAUCUAAAGCUAAAUAUUGGCGAGAGACCGAUAGCGAACAAGUACUGUGAAGGAAAGAUGAAAAGAACUUUGAAAAGAGAGUGAAAAAGUACGUGAAAUUGUUGAAAGGGAAGGGAUCUAAAUCAGACAUGGUAUUUUGUGAUCAACAGUCUUUCGGGACUGUGCACUCGCAUUUUACUAGGCCAGCAUCGGUUAGAAGGGGGUAAAAAAGAUUUUGGAAUGUGGCUCCUCGGAGUGUUAUAGCCAAGGUUAAUUGCCCCAUUUCUGACCGAGGACCGCGUCUUUUGACUAGGAUGCUGGCGUAAUGGUUUUGAUCCAC